RNAcentral lists this unclassified non-coding RNA (278 nucleotides) under plant metagenome. RNAcentral's name for it is "partial contains small subunit ribosomal RNA and internal transcribed spacer 1". The stretch from base 1 to 54 matches the Rfam family "Eukaryotic small subunit ribosomal RNA", at positions 1778 to 1831 of the family's 1831-position model. The record is from RNAcentral.
GGAAGUAAAAGUCGCAACAAGGUUUCCGUAGGUGAACCUGCGGAAGGAUCAUUAUCGAAAUACUUAUUUAGCGUUCCGUGCUAUCCCAUUGUUUUAUUUACCCUGUUGCUUCCACUGGAUGAGUUUCCAUACCUUGUGUUUGAGAAACUUUGGCUUGUGUAAGAUUCAUUCACGGCCAGCCAGUGAGAAGACCAUUUACAAAACCCUGUUAAGAACCAAUUGUCUGAAUAUUUUACUCCAAUGAAAUAAAACUUUCAGCAACGGAUCUCUAGGCUCUU